UAAUGAUUCGAAUGGUCGCCUUCAGUGCUGGCUCUUGCAAGUGCACGUAGGUGGCUUUCAUCCAAUACCCUUGUGAACCUUUGGCCUCCAGUGUGCUAGCUUCGGCUGGCGGAGGAUUUUUACACACACUCGAAUGUAAAGAACACUAUUGUCGUGCGCAAGCACUAAUGUACAACUUUCAACAACGGAUCUCUUGGCUCUCGCAUCGAUGAAGAACGCAGCGAAAUGCGAUAAGUAAUGUGAAUUGCAGAAUUCAGUGAAUCAUCGAAUCUUUGAACGCACCUUGCACCCUUUGGUAUUCCGAAGGGUAUGCUCGUUUGAGUGUCAUUGUACUCUCAUACUCUCUGAUCCUUUGGAUUCAGCGAGUGGUGGACUUGGGUGUUUGCUGCUUUCCUUGUGGCUCACCUCAAAUGUGUUAGUGCACCUCUUGGUUGGACAUAGUACGGCGUGAUAAGUGUCUUCGCCGGCACCUCGCAAGAGGGUGGCUGAUCGGGAGCUCUGUGCUUUCAAACCGUCAUUCGACAAUCACUGACAACU
This 537-nucleotide unclassified non-coding RNA is filed under the name Sebacina sp. 4 CG-2012. RNAcentral describes it as "sequence contains ITS1, 5.8S rRNA gene, ITS2". The stretch from base 174 to 327 matches the Rfam family "5.8S ribosomal RNA". The record is from RNAcentral. Lineage: Eukaryota; Fungi; Basidiomycota; Agaricomycetes; Sebacinales; Sebacinaceae.